ACCAGGAAUCAUGGUGCUCCAUGGAUUAGAACUUGAAAAUGCCAACUGGUGCGACCUGAAUGGAGGAGUUGAGAGAAUUAAGACAGCGAGUGACACUGAUACUGAAACAGUAACAAGCAGCAGGAUUAGUAGUGGAGUGGUGGGGUGGGUCUUCUAUCUUUGGAAUUUAAAGAGAAGGCACAACGACAAAUCCAACAAAAAGAGCUAAAGCAGAGCAGGGCUAAGUAGGGGAAGGGGAGUAGGAAGCUUCCUGUGUUAGCUAGAUCUCCCUUUUUGUUAUUACAAAUUGGCUGCCUUGGCGUUGAC
This 306-nucleotide unclassified non-coding RNA is filed under the name Hevea brasiliensis (rubber tree). Lineage: Eukaryota; Viridiplantae; Streptophyta; Magnoliopsida; Malpighiales; Euphorbiaceae. The record is from RNAcentral.